RNAcentral lists this ribosomal RNA (429 nucleotides) under Bacteroidota bacterium. Its description in RNAcentral is "Bacteroidetes bacterium partial 16S ribosomal RNA". It matches the Rfam family "Bacterial small subunit ribosomal RNA", at positions 355 to 776 of the family's 1533-position model. Lineage: Bacteria; Pseudomonadati; Bacteroidota. The record is from RNAcentral.
UAGGGAAUCUUCCGCAAUGGGCGAAAGCCUGACGGAGCAACGCCGCGUGAGUGAUGAAGGUCUUCGGAUCGUAAAACUCUGUUAUUAGGGAAGAACAAAUGUGUAAGUAACUAUGCACGUCUUGACGGUACCUAAUCAGAAAGCCACGGCUAACUACGUGCCAGCAGCCGCGGUAAUACGUAGGUGGCAAGCGUUAUCCGGAAUUAUUGGGCGUAAAGCGCGCGUAGGCGGUUUUUUAAGUCUGAUGUGAAAGCCCACGGCUCAACCGUGGAGGGUCAUUGGAAACUGAAAAACUUGAGUGCAGAAGAGGAAAGUGGAAUUCCAUGUGUAGCGGUGAAAUGCGCAGAGAUAUGGAGGAACACCAGUGGCGAAGGCGACUUUCUGGUCUGUAACUGACGCUGAUGUGCGAAAGCGUGGGGAUCAAACAGG